CAGUGCCGCCCCGCCAGCGCCCCGCAGCACUGGGGCUCCGCGCACAGCUGUGCCAGGGAGGUGGCUCAGUUUCCUGCAAACCCUUGGGAAAUGCUACGGUCCUGAGUGGGUUUAGGGUGAAGGGAGGUCGCAGGCUGUCCUUGGCCAGACCGUUCCUGCCACCUUGGGUGUUUGAUCCAGCUCUAAAGCAGCAGCACAGAGCCAGCAGAGUCACCUCCUAGCUGCUCGCACUCUCUUCUGCCCCUGCAGUUCUGCAGGAGUCCCAGACCGCAAAGCCUGGGGUUGUCUCUGGAUUCACACUUUCUCCCUCCUCCAAAUAAGCCUCAUCUGCAGCAGCUCUAAAUCUCUGCAAGGAAGGCAACGGCAGAGCUUGGAGCCUCAGUCAGGGAGUCUGCCCACCCAUGGGAAAGCACAGCAGCAGAGACUGCUCUUGCAGGUAGAGGAGAGCUUUUUUUCUUUCCCAUCUUAAGAAGGCACAAAAUCUAUUGCACCCCCCCUAUCCCCCCAAGGGAGAGACCAGCUUCUCCUCCUCUGCCUCGAGGUCGAGAGAAAUGCAAAGAGCACUUACCAUAUUAGUGGCAGAAUGAAAUGCAGGUCUUGGGAGCACGUUUGUGUUAAAGCCCCAGAGAGGUUUAAAUGGCUCUGAAGGAGGGGGAGAGGGGGGAGACCGGGGAGGCGAGUUUAAUCUAAAGGAGCUCCCAGUGACGCCUCAGAGCUCUCCUGAAACCCAGCAAUCUGAUUUGGUGUAAAGCUGUCAAACUUGUGACGUGAAUAAACAGCAAACUUGCUGAAAUCAAAGUCAUUCUGGUCCCACAAAUCAACACAAGGAAGGAGGGAAAAGAAAAGGAGGGAGAAGGGAAAAAAAAAAGUAUCCAUGCAGUUCAGGGCAGCAGUGAACUGGUGUGUCUGAGUUUCACUCCAGGAAAUGAGCAGGCAUCCAGGGAAGCAUCCCACAUGUUCAGAAUAAGGCUGCUGGUGUUGCUGAUGCCAGCCCCUCCUGCAUGGCCGUGUCAUCUGCUGGCUAACAAGGAAAAGAAGCUGUGUGACACACGCCCAACACGCGCCAAGGCCCAGCUCAGCUCCUUGGCCGCGGCUGAGCUGCAGGGCGCAGUGCAGCAGGGCGCUGUGGCGCUGGCGGCUCCCUCACACCGGGGGCAUCCCAGGCAGGGGUCAAGAGGAAGAUGCCAGACUCUUUUCAGUCGUGCCCAGUGACAGGACAAGGAGCAAUGGCCAUAAACUGGAACACAAGAAACUUCACCUCAACAUUUGGAAGAACUUCUUUCUAUUGAGGGUGUCAGGCACUGGAACAGCUGCCCAGGGAGGGUGCAGAGUCUCCCCUCUCUGGAGACAUAUCAAACCCACUGGAAGCCCGUGGUCCCUCCGUUGCUGGCUCUGCAUAGCUGCUGUGGUGUUGGCUGCGGGGCUGAUGGUGCUCCGCUUCCUGAGCUCCAGGAAUUCAGGUCAGCUCACCAAGGUUGACAUGCUGGAGAGUGAAAGGUGAUAUGUGGAUAAAUGACCACCAAAUCAGAGGCCUGGUUUGUGGAGAUACCCUUUGGGUGACUAUCAGAGAAAGAAAAAUGCUGUUGUUGUAGGAGAGAAACACCUAAUUGUGGUAACUGGUGCAUGGAUGGUCACACACAGUGAUGGAAGAGGUUCAAGUCACAGUAGCAAUCACACAUUGAUGUGUGUGUAAAACAAAACUAAGUAACAAUCAUCUGCUAAUUUUCCUGUUCAUCUGGAGCUCUUAAUGCUCAUUGCAGCUAAUGAUGGACCUCUUUAAUUGGAAAUAAAGUUUCGGGGCAAAAUGUUUAUCAAGACUACAAUAUUGCUUCAGUGGAGAUUUUACUUUGAAUGUUAUAGCAGCUUUUCUGAAGUUCUGGGAACACACUUAAGUGUAUUGCAGUGUUAAUUCUUAUCUGUUCUUUGUACCUGUAUUUUCUUUUGUAAUUUCUAUGAUGUUUCUUUUUAAAUGUUAGUGAUGAAGCUAAUCCUUCAGAUUAAAACUAAAAAAAACCACAAAUAUUUUUUCUGAUUUAUCCCAGUUUUAUGUCGAAAUGGCCUUAAAAUUGCAUUUGCAUCAGUGAACUGGCUUUCAGAAGGGAUGGUACACAGAGGAAAAAUAGUAUUUGCAUAUAGUUUAAUUCAAGUUUUAUAUCAGAUUUACUACAGUUAUGUGUUGCUUUGCAUGCUGACACCUGCACAGGUGUCCAAACCGACCCCAAAUCCUCUUCACUUAUCCUGCCGUAUUACUGCUACACUGCUUCUUGUCCCUAGUAAGAGUGGCUAAGUGAAUCAGUGACAAAACAGAGGCUCACUUAUAACUCAGGAUAUUAACCUGUAGACAGGUAUACACAGGUAUCUGGCACUUGCAUGAAUCUCUGGUUGUGUUUGUGAACCAAAGGUGUGAGAAAUUAAACCUGAUGAGACAGAUUUGCAAAAAUGCUUUUGAAAGGGAAUUUAUACACAUACAGGUUCUGGCUGUUUCUCUGAUCAGUCUUCCUCCUUGAACGCAGGACUAAAAGGCACUUCCCAAAUCCAGUCCCCUGCUGUUGAGACAUUCUUAAACUUUUCAAUCUCCCUCUUAAAACUAAUUAGGUUAUUUUCCUUAUGUUAUUCCCACUGUGAGGCUACACCGUACUCUGAGCUCUGAUGGCUGGACACUUUCUAGUUUCCAGGCUGCAUGUAUUCAUAGCAGGUAUAAUCCCUUUUGUCCUUGUGCCAAACUCUUGCUCUAGUUUAGACACUUCAUCUCCCUCUCUAGUGUUUAGCCUUGACGUCUUUGCAAAGCGCUGUCACACAUUGUCUUUUCCUUUGCUUUUUAGGUUGAAGAAGGCAGGUUCUUUUACAAUCUUUCCUAACCUUAGGAACCUAUCUCAGAAAAUAUUCCAGCUGAUAUUAACCUGUUUUUCACAUGGAUGACCAAACUUACUCAGGUUGCUCUGUAACACACCACUGUUUUAGAGAAAAGCAUGGGGAAAUCUUCCCUUUUUAUAUCUUUUCGGUAUAUUUUAGGGCAGUCUUUACCUUUUUCAUCACUCUCUCACACCGGUUGCUAGUCUUGAAAUCGCUGUCAGCUGGCAGUGAAUGCACCUGUGGACUUUAAUUCCUGUAAAAUGUAGUUGAGUCAAACUGAGUUUUCAGUGCUGUAGGGCUCCAGCUCUCCCGUGUUGAUACUUUUUGGUACUGUGGAGUUUCACAAGUAUUUAGAAUAAAGAAAAAAAGAUGACUACAAGAUGGAAAAACUGCAAAACAUCUUUCUGGGUUUACCUGCAAUUUCUCACAACGAGGGUGGUGAGUUAGUGAGUAGAGGAUAUCCUACCUGCGUGCAGUUCUUGUGGUGGCUUCAGUGCUUUCUUUUGGUUUGAAAUGAAGGCACAUGGUAUAUGUAAGGUGUAUGAUUUUCUUCCUGUAUUUUCUGAUACAUGCUGGAUGAGAUUUACCCUUGAUAGAAUCUUAGUAGGAAAUUUGUUAUUACUAGUGCUUAAUUGUUUGUGGUCAGUAAAGGGGUUUUUUUGUGAAGAAAGUAAGUUUUAUUUAGCUGCUGUAUGUAAAAUAAUAACUUUUUAGUGAUCUAGAAGCUUAACUUGAGUAAUGGAUAUCAUCUGAUGGAAUUUAUCUGAAAAAGUUGAAGGUUUUCUGCAUAGAUAAUGGUACUUUUAUAUAUAGGAAAUCCUUAGAGGUGAAGUGUGUAGGGAUCAUGUUUGAAUAACAUCUGUGCCAUGUGUUGUGUCCACAAGUGCUCACCCAUCUGUUAUCACCCCUGCUAACAGCAAAUCUUUGGUCUGUCCUGUGGAUGUAGCUGUUGUUUCACAAGGGACAGCAGAUCCCUGCUUUGAAGAGAGAUCUGUUAGGUAAAGCACAGAUAACUGCUCGUGAAGAUCUAGGACUAGAAGAGACUUGCUCUUGUGAUGCUGGUACUGCCUUUUACUCUUCAAAAUUUCACUCUAAUUUCCAAUCUGAACUUGUUCAUGGACAUUUGUGUCUUUAGCUUUUUCUGUUUUGUCGUGUGUUCCAUUUGAUGUGUUAUAAACAACAAUCUAUGCUGUGUUUGUCUGGCUUUGUGUAAUUGCUUUUCUAUUUUGCCAGCCAUCUGAGAAGCAGUCCUUUAGAUUGCACUUGAUUACACCCCAGGGUACAGGAAUGAGGUGUCCCUGAAAUAGAAAGGCAAAUGGAAAAAGUGCAAGUUUUAUGAGCACAGAGUAUGUUUACAGAAUGUCAUUGAGAGUGAGAGCAUUUUGAUAAAUAAAUAUAAUUCUGGGGUUUUCUUUUGAAUAUUUUCAUUAAUUCUACUGGGUAUAUUGACCUUUUGUCAGAGGAGGACAUUAAUUGCACUGGUUUAGCAUCCUAUGGACAUAUUCUCUCAGAACUCAUCCCAGGCUCUAUUUGUUGCCUGUUUCUUGCCCUUUCCUUUGGCUGGAAUUGUAUCAUAAAAAAACUCAGAGGUCCUAAUCUCAGGGCUGGCUUUUGACGAGCUGAUGGGUUCUCCUGGAAACUGCAGGUGGGAAUUUGUUACUAUUGCCACUCUGAUUGGUGUAUGGAAGAGAAAUACGUUCUACUCCUGGGUCUGAUGUUGUACAUUUUUAUAGCAGCACUUAAAUGCCUGAAACGUCAGAACAUCACCCAUUUACGGUAUAGACCCAAGUCAGUCUCUGCAUCUUUGUUUCAGUUCCUCAUCUAUCAAUCGGGACUGGUGUGUCUGCUUAGAUUUCACACAUUUCUGUAAUAAAAAAUGU
This is a long non-coding RNA of Corvus hawaiiensis (hawaiian crow), 4733 nucleotides long. RefSeq lists it as uncharacterized. The record is from RefSeq and is a predicted model, not a curated record. NCBI's taxonomy places the organism in Eukaryota, Metazoa, Chordata, Aves, Passeriformes, Corvidae. The transcript has 3 exons.